UGGGGAAUAUUGGACAAUGGGCGAAAGCCUGAUCCAGCCAUGCCGCGUGUGUGAAGAAGGUCUUCGGAUUGUAAAGCACUUUAAGUCGGGAGGAAGGGCAGUAAGCGAAUACCUUGCUGUUUUGACGUUACCGACAGAAUAAGCACCGGCUAACUCUGUGCCAGCAGCCGCGGUAAUACAGAGGGUGCAAGCGUUAAUCGGAAUUACUGGGCGUAAAGCGCGCGUAGGUGGUUCGUUAAGUUGAAUGUGAAAGCCCCGGGCUCAACCUGGGAACUGCAUCCAAAACUGGCGAGCUAGAGUAGGGCAGAGGGUGGUGGAAUUUCCUGUGUAGCGGAGAAAUGCGUAGAUAUAGGAAGGAACACCAGUGGCGAAGGCGACCACCUGGGCUCAUACUGACACUGAGGUGCGAAAGCGUGGGGAGCAAACAGG
Molecule: ribosomal RNA, 429 nt
Filed under: Pseudomonadota bacterium
Lineage: Bacteria; Pseudomonadati; Pseudomonadota
Description: Proteobacteria bacterium partial 16S ribosomal RNA
Rfam family: Bacterial small subunit ribosomal RNA
Source: RNAcentral